RNAcentral lists this long non-coding RNA (376 nucleotides) under Mytilus galloprovincialis (Mediterranean mussel). The record is from RNAcentral. Lineage: Eukaryota; Metazoa; Mollusca; Bivalvia; Mytilida; Mytilidae.
CAAAUGAAAUAUGCAGCUAGCUGUAAAACUAGGUUUAUUCAUUUAUACAAAAUGUCCUUUUUUAAAGUUUUCCCAUUUACUGUAAAUCUUGGCCAGGGUGCCUCCAAAAUCCAAAAUCCCGGAUUCACGCUACCCUUGUCGUUGCUGGCAGAAAAUCAGUAAGUGUAUACAUGCUACAUGUAUGUGUAGUCUACUUGUUCAAAAAUAAAAACGAACAAUGAUGUUUCAACAGUUUAUCUGCUAUGAUCGGAAACAACCCUCCGAACUAGGCGAUUCGGGUACCCCGACGUUAUUCAAAAUGAGACCCGAGUUUUGCGGAUUUUUCGUGAUUUUUUUCAUAUUUUUCCCAAUUUUGUCUUCCAUCGAUACAAUGAAU